Malania oleifera is the source of this 1621-nucleotide long non-coding RNA. RefSeq lists it as uncharacterized. The record is from RefSeq and is a predicted model, not a curated record. NCBI's taxonomy places the organism in Eukaryota, Viridiplantae, Streptophyta, Magnoliopsida, Santalales, Ximeniaceae. The transcript has 2 exons.
UUUUUGCUCUUUGUUAGUGUGCUAUGUAGACUCUGAAGGCUUACCUAUGCGCAACUCCUCUUCUCCCUUUUUGAAAUCUCUGUCUCUCUCUCUCUCCCUUCCCUCCUUCCUUUUUGAAUUGGAUUAUGAAUUCUAUCAUGGCAUCAGAGCAGCCGAUCUUCUUCGUAUUCGCUGAUAGGUGGUCAUUUGGAGCACAAAGCUCUCGCGAACGACGUCGUCGUUCAGCACUGAAGUCGUCGUUGUGGUCGUGACCUUCCUCCCAGCACUGAAGCCGUCAUCGUGGCCGUUCCUCCCUGCAGACGCCGUCGUUGUGGUCGUUCGGAGCUCUUGCAAACAUCGUCGCCGUGCUUCUCCGAAUACUGCAUCUCUGCAAUUCGUCUCCCUCUCGUCUCGUCUCGUCUCUAGUCUCGGUUGGAGUUUUACACCGUGGGUCUUACUUUCAUUUCCCUCUCGUCUCGUCUCUGAUCUGUCAAUCUCAUAUCGGAUGAACAGCUCAUAGAGUCGGAGAUCAAUAAGUCGGCGACUGCAAUCAGAAACAACGUUGUCUGUUGGCAAUCGGAAAUUAGGUGUCGUCUUGUUAGUCGGCCUCAGAUCGAAACAACGUUAUCUGUUUGGAGUUUGUAAUUUUUUGGUUUUCUUUUAUUGUUUUGUAUCUUGUUUAUCAACUACAAUGCAUGAGAAGCCUGCAGGAGAGGGUUCGGAGUAUUGAGAAGACGCUGCAGGAACUAGCAAUCAAUCGGAAUUUCUUUUGUGUUUUAUUGAUAUACAGUGAGGAGUAGAGAAGCUUAUGGUGGAAAAGCGUUGGAGUGAACGUGGGGGGUUUCCUUCUGAUUGGAUGGAUUCAUGUUGGAGCAAUUGUAUAAAUGAAGCAGUGCUUAUACUUACAAUGGCAGCAAUGGGUGUUCAAUGUGGAAUGGAGAUUCGUUGAAUUUGUAGCAACUAAGACUUGCCGCAUCAGCAUUUGCUAGUUCUAGAGGAUUUGGGUUCUGUUUGCUUGAAAUUGUGUGCGGUUUGUAAUAAAUAAGUGCAGUACUAUUUUUUAAGAUGGUUGUUACCGUUGAUGAGUGUAGUUAUUCCAAGCAAAAGGAUCAUUAGAAAGUUCAAUGCUUAUUAUUACUAAGAAAGGGACAACAACAUACUUGGAAAGUUAGGCAUUCUCACACUAUAGCCACUACAUCAUCAGAAGAGUUGUCUCUCACUAUGUCUAAACUAUCUCUUAUUACAGAGCAGUUGCAUAAGCUUCUUUCUACAUCAGAGCCUAAUGGCAUAUAUGUUUCUUCCUCCAUAGUUUUGUUCUCUUCAUCCACUUCAGGAUUCACAUUUCAAGAAGUUGAUUGGGACAGGCCAUAGGAAGGGGGGACUGUAUGUGUUCGAAGAGCUUCGGCUUAAGGAAUUUGUUAGUUCUAGUGUUGACUUGUCUUCUUUUCAUUUGAGUUCCCAUUCUUCUACUUUUUAUUUAUGACAUUCACGUCGACAUGUUUCUAGUUCUCGACUGAAAUUUUUGGCUUCCACAAGUGUCUUAGGAAAUUUAUCCUUUCAUGAUAUUUCUGAUUGUAGUUGUUGUAAGCUUACAAAAUUCUCUACUUUGUUAUUUAAUAAAAGUACAUCAGCGUUUCUUUCA